RNAcentral lists this ribosomal RNA (669 nucleotides) under uncultured bacterium. Its description in RNAcentral is "bacterial SSU rRNA". The stretch from base 1 to 535 matches the Rfam family "Bacterial small subunit ribosomal RNA", at positions 338 to 873 of the family's 1533-position model. The record is from RNAcentral.
CCUACGGGAGGCAGCAGUGGGGAAUAUUGGACAAUGGGGGCAACCCUGAUCCAGCAAUGCCGCGUGUGUGAGGAAGGCCUGAGGGUUGUAAAGCACUUUCAGUGGGGAGGAGGAUACUUAGGUUAAGAGCUAGAGUAUUGGACGUUACCCACAGAAGAAGCACCGGCUAACUCCGUGCCAGCAGCCGCGGUAAUACGGAGGGUGCGAGCGUUAAUCGGAAUUACUGGGCGUAAAGGGUGCGUAGGUGGUUGAUUAAGUUAUCUGUGAAAUCCCCGGGCUCAACCUGGGCAGGUCAGAUAAUACUGAUUGACUCGAGUAUAGGAGAGGGUAGUGGAAUUUCCGGUGUAGCGGUGAAAUGCGUAGAGAUCGGAAGGAACACCAGUGGCGAAGGCGGCUACCUGGCCUAAUACUGACACUGAGGCACGAAAGCGUGGGGAGCAAACAGGAUUUAGAUACCCUGGUAGUCCCGACGCUGUAACGAUAGUCUACUACGACUGUUGGUUAGUUAUAGUAAUAAUAAUUAAGUUAGGUCGGCGAGACGAACGACGAGUAAGUUAGUACCGCCGUCGGGGUAGGUACGGUCGGCGAAGAAGUUAAACGUAACGAAGUAGUAAGUUAGUACGGACGUGAGACGUAGACCGACGGACGACGACGAGGGAGGUUAGGGAG